RNAcentral lists this ribosomal RNA (441 nucleotides) under uncultured bacterium. RNAcentral describes it as "partial 16S ribosomal RNA". It matches the Rfam family "Bacterial small subunit ribosomal RNA", at positions 338 to 795 of the family's 1533-position model. The record is from RNAcentral.
CCUACGGGAGGCAGCAGUGGGGGAUAUUGCACAAUGGGGGGAACUCUGAUGCAGCGACGCCGCGUGGGUGAAGGAGCGUUUCGGCGCGUAAAGCCCUAUCGGCAGGGAAGAAGGUGGACGUUACCUGACUAAGAAGCCCCGGCUAAAGACGUGCCAGCAGCCGCGGUAAUACGUAGGGGGCAAGCGUUAGCCGGUUUUAUUGGGUGUAAAGGGGGCGCAGACGGCAGAGCAAGCUAGUAGUGAAAGCCCGGGGCCCAACCCCGGGACUGCUCUUGGAACUGAGCGGCUGGAGUGCAGGAGGGGCAGGCGGAAUUCCUGGUGUAGCGGUGAAAUGCGUAGAUAUCAGGAGGAACACCGGUGGCGAAGGCGGCCUGCUGGACUGCGACUGACGUUGAGGCCCGAAAGCGUGGGGAGCAAACAGGAUUAGAUACCCCAGUAGUC